This is an unclassified non-coding RNA of Pan paniscus (pygmy chimpanzee), 294 nucleotides long. It matches the Rfam family "Metazoan signal recognition particle RNA". From Rfam's summary of the family: The signal recognition particle (SRP) is a universally conserved ribonucleoprotein. It is involved in the co-translational targeting of proteins to membranes. The eukaryotic SRP consists of a 300-nucleotide 7S RNA and six proteins: SRPs 72, 68, 54, 19, 14, and 9. Lineage: Eukaryota; Metazoa; Chordata; Mammalia; Primates; Hominidae. The record is from Ensembl.
GCCGGGCGCAGUGGUGUGUGGCUAUAGUCCCAGCUAUAAUAUUUGGGAGGCUGACGUAGGAGGAUUGUUUGAGACCAGGAAUUCUGGGCUGUAGUGCUCUAUGCUGAUUGAGUGUCCACACUAAGUUUGGUAUCAAUGUGAUGAGCGAAGGACCACCAGAUUGCCUAAGAAGGGGUGAACUGGUCCAGGUUGAACAUGGAACAGGUCAAAAUUCCUGUGCUGAUUAGUAGUGGGAUCGCACUUGUGAAUAUCCACUGCACUACAGCCUGGACAACAUAGCCAGACUCUGUCUCU